GAGGAAAGUCUGGGCUCUGUAAAGAAUAUAGCUAUAUAACUUAUAGUGUAGGCGACUACGAGGAUAGUGCCACAGAAAUAAACCUGCUUAUUUUAUUAAGUAAGGGUGCAAUGGUAUAUUAAAAGUGUACCAGAAAUAUUUUUAAGAUAUUUGCUAGGUAAACCCCGUAUUAGAGCAAGGUAAUUAGUCUAUAUGACUGAUGUUUAAAUAUACUGCGAGAAAGUAAAUAUUGGCGUAUUUCUUAAGAUAAAUAAUUACCCUUUUUGUGCUUUUAGGCACAACUAAGAACAAAACCCGGCUUAU
Molecule: RNase P RNA, 303 nt
Filed under: Caloglossa intermedia
Lineage: Eukaryota; Rhodophyta; Florideophyceae; Ceramiales; Delesseriaceae
Description: rnpB
Rfam family: Bacterial RNase P class A
About the family: Ribonuclease P (RNase P) is a ubiquitous endoribonuclease, found in archaea, bacteria and eukarya as well as chloroplasts and mitochondria.
Source: RNAcentral